AUACGGAGGAUGCGAGCGUUAUCCGGAUUUAUUGGGUUUAAAGGGGGCGUAGGUGGGAUAUUAAGUCAGCUGUGAAAGUUUGGGGCUCAACCUUAAAAUUGCAGUUGAUACUGGUUUCCUUGAGUACGGUACAGGUGGGCGGAAUUCGUGGUGUAGCGGUGAAAUGCUUAGAUAUCACGAAGAACUCCGAUCGCGAAGGCAGCUCACCGGGCCGGAACUGACACUGAUGCUCGAAAGUGCGGGUAUCAAACAGGAUUAGAUACCCUGGUAGUCCGCACAGUAAACGAUGAAUACUCGCUGUUUGCGGUACACGGUAAGCGGCCAAGCGAAAGCGUUAAGUAUUCCACCUGGGGAGUACGCCGGCAACGGUGAAACUCAAAUGAAUUGACGGGG
RNAcentral lists this ribosomal RNA (393 nucleotides) under uncultured bacterium. RNAcentral's name for it is "partial 16S ribosomal RNA". It matches the Rfam family "Bacterial small subunit ribosomal RNA", at positions 523 to 918 of the family's 1533-position model. The record is from RNAcentral.